AAGCCGCGAACGGGUGAGUAACACGUGGGUAACCUGCCCCUGAUGAUUGGGACAACCCGAGGAAACUCGGGCUAAUACCAAAUGUGCUCCUCGGCCAUAAGGUCGAUGAGGAAAGGUAGCUUCGGCUUCCGCAUCAGGAUGGGCCCGCGGCCCAUUAGCUUGUUGGUGGGGUAACGGCCUACCAAGGCUUCGAUGGGUAGCUGGUCUGAGAGGACGAUCAGCCACACUGGGACUGAGACACGGCCCAGACUCCUACGGGAGGCAGCAGUGGGGAAUCUUGCACAAUGCGCGAAAGCGUGAUGCAGCAACGCCGCGUGGGGGAAGAAGGCCUUCGGGUUGUAAACCCCUUUCAGUUGGGACGAAGCUUCUGCGGUGAAUAGCCGCAUGGAGUGACGGUACCUUCAGAAGAAGCCCCGGCUAACUACGUGCCAGCAGCCGCGGUAAUACGUAGGGGGCAAGCGUUGUCCGGAAUUAUUGGGCGUAAAGCGCGUGUAGGCGGCUCGGUAAGUCUGCUGUGAAAGUCCAAGGCUCAACCUUGGAAUGCCGGUGGAUACUGUCGAGCUCGAGUCCGGAAGAGGCGAGUGGAAUUCCUGGUGUAGCGGUGAAAUGCGCAGAUAUCAGGAGGAACACCAAUGGCGAAGGCAGCUCGCUGGGACGGUAC
RNAcentral lists this ribosomal RNA (661 nucleotides) under uncultured bacterium. RNAcentral's name for it is "bacterial SSU rRNA". It matches the Rfam family "Bacterial small subunit ribosomal RNA", at positions 93 to 740 of the family's 1533-position model. The record is from RNAcentral.